Alligator mississippiensis (American alligator) is the source of this 609-nucleotide long non-coding RNA. RefSeq lists it as uncharacterized. The transcript has 4 exons. Lineage: Eukaryota; Metazoa; Chordata; Crocodylia; Alligatoridae. The record is from RefSeq and is a predicted model, not a curated record.
AGGGAACUAGCUAACACCUGCACCUGGUCAGCUGAGCAGAAGGAGACAAGGCCUGGACACACACAGGCAAGCCCCAGGGUUGGGGCUGGCUGGAGUUAGUUCUCUGCCAGCAGCCAGGGGGAAGGAGCUCUUGCAGAAAAAGCUAUUUGAAGCUGCCAGUCUCUUCCAGGACAUCAAGCAGAGGCAGCGAGAGGUUUUGCCCGGAGAAGCUUCCUUUGAAGACAGGAGCAACUUCUUCUGAGACAGACCAUUGGGGACAUACUGGAAGCAAUAGCUGUGACUGCCCCAAGGUUGAUUUACCUGCUCCCUACCAACAUCAUGGACCUGCUUACAGGGCCCCUCUGACGCCUACGCUGGAUGGAGGAGGUGAUCCCCGCACACAAGAAUGAAUGAAGACCGUUCUGGUAUCAAUACCAGAAAGACAGACAAUCCCGUGGAAAGAACAUUUUAACUUCCCUGGACAGUCCAUCGCUGACCUCAGGGCAGCUAUUCUUAGGCUGUGGAUGGACCUGCUCUGUGAAUGAAGAGUACGAGGCUGAAGGACUCCUGCCUCGCUGGUCGCGGAGGAUGGAAGGUGAGUAGUGACGGAGGCUGAAAUUGCAAGAAGAG